GUGAGGGGUUAGGCAGAGGGAUUGACCAGAGGGACUGACCAGGCUGCAGGUGGGGUUAGGGGAGUCUCACAGUUUCACGAGACAUCCUUUGCCUCAAUUGCCCAAAGGCAGGUUAUGUCAAAGGAAAUCUGACACCAGCUUUUCUAGUCAUCAGUUUGCUCUCUCAUCAAAAGGGAUGUUAAGUUGAAAGAAUUUGUAGGUGUUAGAAAAUAGGAGAAAAGAGGAUUUUACCCAGAUGGAAAGAGCAGUGAGGAUUAAAGCAAUUAGCAGAGGAUUGGCUUCAUCAAUGCCUAAAAUCCAGAUCUGUGUUCCUGCUUCCUGGCAAGGUUCCUGUCCAUGCUGGGUGUGUGUAAAAUGCCAGACCUCUCCUCACUCCAACAAUACAGAAUAGCCUAUCUGACAUAUGGAGGUGCACUUUUCAAACUUUCGGUAAAAAAAGCCGUGAGGUAUGGUUGUGAAGUUCAAACCUUUUCCCAAAAGGUUUGCAUGAUCAGUAUUUCAGGAAGCAAGUGAAAAACAGGACAGGUCAAGCAAUUGCAGUCAGGAGUCACGGAUAUUACAGAGGCAGCAGCGAUUUCCCCUUCAGUAACAGGAGGUUGGACUUGGUGGCAUUUGUGAUCCCUUUUAGCUCUAGAUCUGGCAUCUAGAGUGGACACAAAACUGGAGGAAGAGCAAGAAGAGAAGCAGAAUUAGAGCUGAUGGUCGGCUGAAGCAAGAGGACACGGGUACCUUGCCAUCUUGGUCCUGAGGUCUUUGGUACGGGCCCUGGAGGAGUGCCCGCCCCAACCCAGAAGGAGCAUCAGACAAUCAUAGGACUCUCCAUUUGUCUUGAGAUUUGAGACGUUUCCUACUUUCUCUUCACCUGAUGGCACAGAGAACAGCAGAUACUACUGGGAUUUCUAAGAGGGCAAUGUGAUCAACACGGACUUCACACCCAAAUGCAAUUCUUGUGGUGCGAAGAUUUUUGAGAAAUAUUUUUGUAAGACCAGUUUAGAGCAUGAUCUGCCCAGUCAUGCUAUUAGUAAUCAAACAUGGAACAGAACCUUGGUAAUCUCCAUGAUCACUCUGGGACCUAAGCCAACAACGUAUAAGCCCUUCUGGAAUUACUGAAAUUUGCCUCAUCACUGACUGGGGUGCAUGGUGGCUUGUGAGAGAGAGGAUUCAGGAAUGAGGGGCUGUGUUAAAACACAGUUCCCAGAACUGAAGUGUACCUCCCCACCACCAAUUGUUAGGGGCUAGUGAAUGGUGUCCCAGUUCCACUUGCCCAUUUAAGACUGGGUAGCUUUUAUAAAAGGAUAUUUACUUCAAAGAUAUAGCAAGAACAAAGUACAAAAUUUUCCCCUAAUACCUGAGGGGCAUACUCUCCCCUAUAUACUACCCUGGUUUCUGGGGGAAAUGGGCUCAACUUAGGUCAGUUCCUACAUAGCAUAAGUCCCACCAAUUCUGAGUCCAAAGGCAGCACUGAUGUUGGAUGAAUUACAUCUCAGCUGUGGCUGGGCUGGUGUGCUGGGAGGCUACUGCUAUACAUCACUCCUUACUCCUCUGGGUACUGAUCCUGCCCUGGCUGCAGAUCUAUACUCUGCAAUGCCACAAUGCUGAGAAAAAAAAAACAAUUAAUGGAAAAGUUUAAAAUCCAAGUUGAUUUUCAACUCUAAAUGUUUGCUUCGUUAUUUUGAAGGAAGAGAGUAACAUACAUUUCUACCUUUUGCCUGCCUUCUUUUUUGCUAAAUAUCUUGAAACUUAGAAAUUAUAAGAUGUUGUCCAUAUGUAUCUUUAUCCUCGGUAUUGCUGCUUUCUUUUAGACAUUUUAUGGACAGCCCAAAUUCACUCUUUGUAACCUAGGACUUCAGAUCCCUCUGACACACAAAGGGAACUUUCGGUCUGUUCUGACCACUCCCACCCUUCAGUUUCAAGUGAUUCUGGAUGACAUCAAGAGCAGACUAACAUGGAACACCAGUUUUCCCACUUAAUCUUGGCAGGAUGCCAAGUUCUGUGAUGUCAUCACACAUUUUUUCACUAUGGUGAAGCCUGCCUUGUCAAUUCUUCCCUCAGUUUUGAUUUGCUUUUUUUGUUUUGUUUUUUCUUAUCCAAGAACUCAUCUUACACUUGCAGCUACCUUCUCAUUUUAGGGCUGUCCUGCUCCAGCAGCUACACUGCUAACAAUUUCAGGAUUUAAUUAACUCAGCCACAGAAACUAUUUGCCACUUAAAUUCCCAGACAGUGACUUGGCAGGAUAUGAUGGACCAGGUUUGGGUUAGUGAUGGAAGACAAAGAAAAACAAAUUAGGCAUCAUUUCAUGGUAGGCAGGUAUUACUAUGUGAGAAUAGACAAUGUUUCUCCUUUCUAAUUCUAGAUUCAAAAUGUUAGCACUGAUUAAGCAGGAAUGUAGCAUCAACAGAGUUGAUGUUCUUUGAAAAGCGAUUAUCCUUUAUUUCAAAUGAUAAAAAUACAAACAGAUCAAAUGGAGAUUGGCUCCAUCAUACUGGUUCUCUGAACUAAUGUUUUCCUCUUGCUGUAAAAUUGGCAAAAUUUAAUCUCUUAGAUGAGACAUUAUUGCAGUGUAUGAGGAGUCAGCAUGGACAAGACAUGUUCUGUAUAACUUAAGGGAUAAAAUCAGUGUGAUGCUUGAAGUUUACCAUGCUUCACCCAGACAAGGGACAUUGUCUCACAACUACAGACAACCAUGGUGGUAAAGGAUGCUAUAAGUCUUGGAAACUCACGGGGAAAGUUGACUAGUUGAAAAGUUUUUAUUUAUAAUUUGUAAGCCCAUAAUAACUAGAAUUAUUAUGCUGAAAAUAAAUCCAAUUUCAAUCACUGAGUAAAAUCAUGUGACUUCUUAAAAGUCUUCAUGCUUUACCCUUUGACCCAGCAAUAACAUUUCUAGGGCUGCAUCCCAAAGAGAUCACACAAAUGGGAAAAGAACCCACAUGU
Phascolarctos cinereus (koala) is the source of this 2931-nucleotide non-coding RNA. Lineage: Eukaryota; Metazoa; Chordata; Mammalia; Diprotodontia; Phascolarctidae. The record is from RefSeq and is a predicted model, not a curated record.